AAAUAAUAGUAAAAAUAAAUUGUAAAUUUAUUUAAGAAUUUAAAAUAUUUCAUUAUUUA
This 59-nucleotide transfer RNA is filed under the name Aclerda takahashii. RNAcentral's name for it is "tRNA-Tyr". Lineage: Eukaryota; Metazoa; Arthropoda; Insecta; Hemiptera; Aclerdidae. The record is from RNAcentral.